UGGGGAAUUUUGGACAAUGGGCGAAAGCCUGAUCCAGCAAUGCCGCGUGUGUGAAGAAGGCCUUCGGGUUGUAAAGCACUUUUGUCCGGAAAGAAAUCCUUGGCUCUAAUACAGUCGGGGGAUGACGGUACCGGAAGAAUAAGCACCGGCUAACUACGUGCCAGCAGCCGCGGUAAUACGUAGGGUGCAAGCGUUAAUCGGAAUUACUGGGCGUAAAGCGUGCGCAGGCGGUUUGCUAAGACCGAUGUGAAAUCCCCGGGCUCAACCUGGGAACUGCAUUGGUGACUGGCAGGCUAGAGUAUGGCAGAGGGGGGUAGAAUUCCACGUGUAGCAGUGAAAUGCGUAGAGAUGUGGAGGAAUACCGAUGGCGAAGGCAGCCCCCUGGGCCAAUACUGACGCUCAUGCACGAAAGCGUGGGGAGCAAACAGAUUAG
This 433-nucleotide ribosomal RNA is filed under the name uncultured bacterium. Its description in RNAcentral is "partial 16S ribosomal RNA". It matches the Rfam family "Bacterial small subunit ribosomal RNA", at positions 355 to 781 of the family's 1533-position model. The record is from RNAcentral.